CGUGUCUUCAGGUCGCUCCGCGUGCGGUUACCUGAGAGACGCGCGGGUUUCCCGCGCGGCCGCGAUGGCGAGCUCGGCUUCUCAGGAGAACCUCGCGCUGCUCUGCGGCCCGGGAGGCGCCAUGGAGGUGGUGGAGGCCGCCGCGCAGCUGCAGACGCUCAAGUUCGGCGGCUCCGGCCAGGGGUCGGCCGCACCGCCGCCACCCGAGGAGCGCCGGGAGGUCCUGCCGGCCGGGGGGCAGCGGUCGCCGGCCCCGGAGCAGCCGCCGGCGGCCGGGGAGCAGAGGCCGCCAGCCCCGGAGCUGCCACCGCCGGCCCCGGAGCAGCCGCCGCCGGCCCGGGAGCAGCUGCCGCCGGCCCCGAGCUCGGAUGCCGGCGGAAGCCCACCGAAGCCGAGCGGGGCCUGCGUCACCGGGCCGGACGCUGCGGGGCUGCCGCCAGUGCUGCAGGCCUCGGACUCGUCGGACUCGGAUUCGGACAGUGAAACAGAUUCAGAUAGCUCAAGCUCCUCGUCAUCGUCGUCUUCAUCUUCAUCCUGUGUAUCACUCCCUCCUGUGUUGUCAGAUGGAGAUGAGGAUGUCCAAGUUGAGAAAGAAAAUAAGAAUUUUCCUCUUAAAACAAAAGAUGAAUUGCUUCUUAAUGAACUACCUUCUGUUGAAGAACUCACUAUAAUUCUGCCUGAAGACAUUGCACUAAAGCCUCUUGGGAAGGUUUCAAGCAUUAUUGAACAAUUAGUAAUAAUUGAGUCUAUGACUAGCAUACCUCCAGUUAAUGAGGAUACUGUCAUUUUCAAAAGUGAUCGACAAGCAGCAGGGAAGAUAUUUGAGAUAUUUGGACCUGUUGCGCAUCCAUUUUAUGUGUUACGGUUUAAUUCUUCAGAUCACAUUGAGAGUAAAGGUAUCAAAAUAAAUGACACUAUGUAUUUUGCUCCAUCAAUGAAAGACUUCACUCAAUAUAUAUUCACAGAAAAGCUCCAACAGGACAGAGGGUCGGAUGCUUCUUGGAAGAAUGAUCAAGAACCCCCUCCAGAAGCCUUGGAUUUCAGUGACGAUGAGAAAGAAAAAGAAGCCAAACAUAGGAAAAAAUCUCAGAUUCAAGGCCGCAAAAAACUCAAAUCUGAAUUGAAUGAGUCAGGUGAAGAUUUUGGUGAAGUGCAUCAGAAUUGGAAUGUUUAUAGCUCUUCAGAACAUCUAAAAGGAUAUCACAACAGGGAAUUCUCAAGAGGCUUUCUGAGGGGUAGACACUCUCGAGGAAGCCAUGGAAGGCCUCCACCUCAGCAGUACUAUAACUCAGAUCAUAUGGCAUCUCAAGAGAGUUUGGGAUUCACACCUCAGAGACAAGAUAAUCCUGUCAUGCCCCACUAUCCUUUUCCCCCGCCCAUGUUUGAUAUGCAUAACUUUCCACUCCCACCCCCACCCCCUCCCCCGCCCCCACCAGCUGAAAGCAUGGGGUGGGCUGCACCUAGCAUGGCCUCUCAUCCUGUGCUUAACUUACCAUACUCCCUGCCCCCACCACCCUUUCCUCCACCACCUCCCCCUCCUUCUCCUGGGGAAAAUAAUUCUUCUCAUUUUGGACCUUAUUAUUAGUUGUAUGCUUGUAUUUCAGAGAAAUAUGGUAAAAAAUUAGCAUAUAUUAUGGAACUCGAUUAUUUUUUUAAAAAAAAACAUUGUAAAAUACUAAAUCAAAAGAGUCAGUUGUACAUUCAUAUAUAUUUUUAAUAACUCAGUUGUAAGUUCAUAUAUAUUUGUAACCUUUGUGAAAUGGUAGUGCUAGGAACGGUUCAUCUCAUUCUUAGGAAUCUCCAGUUCAUGUAAUAAUUAAAUACAAUGAUGAGUCAUGUCCUCUGCUACCCAUAGCAGGUAAACAGCGUGCAUAGUAAUGGUUAUGACACAGGGUUCAUUACAGCCUCUGAUACACUGAACACUGAGGGAAAACUUGACACUUUUGGUUUGUAAGUACAAGAAUUCUUUUUUUUUUUUAAUUUACACAUUGAAGACUUUAUUGAAAAUAUAAGUUGUUUGCUCCCUUCCUGUAAUAAUAGAGUCUAAAAUCACUUGGAGUCCUAAAAACAAGCAAACUCACAUGUUUGAGUUCUUCUGCUCAUGAAUAUGUUAUCUUUUAAUACUUCUUUUAUCUUUUAUAUAUACAUGGUUAUCUUAGUGCAAAAAUUCUUUUAAAUUUGAUUAACUUAAGCAAGUUAGGAGUGUGAAGGAGGAAGACAUUGGCUGAAGCUCUUGCUAGCUGGUCAGUAUUCACUGUGUAUGACAGACUUGUGUUGUCUAUGUAGCUGUCAGUUAUUUAGAAAGCUUUACUGUUCCGCUGCUUACAUUAAGGCAUGCAUUGGUGUCUGUGUGUAUUCUGUGUCUGAAGGCGCUCCAGUAUCUGACAUGUGUAACGUGUAAUAAAGGCAUAUUAAAUGUCUGAGUGAAUUUAGAGUUUUUAAUUUAAUGAGUGCUUUUUCUGGCAUUCGUGUAAAUGUUAAACGUGGUUAGCGAAUGUUGGAGCGUGAGUAGAAGGCCUGCAGGGUACUCUCCAUUUAUUGACUGAGGAGGAGUCUGAGUGCUCAGAAGGGGCUGCCCUAACCAAGGCCACUGAGCUAUUACAAUGGCAAUGAGUUGAAUCCAGGUUUCUAUUCUUUCUCAGCACCUUACACAGUUGGUGUUUCUAACCUUUCAUUCUUUGACAUUCUUACAAUGCUUUGUAUGGCACACUUAUUCCAAGCCUGUCAGCUCUGUUUGCACUAAGGUCUCCCUUCGCUCCCUACAGAAAGAGGCAUCUGCAGUAUUUGUAGUGGAGAGAUCUCCGCGGACUCUGUCUUGGCACCCGGAGCAACAUGUGCCAGUUUUAUUAUGUUGGGGGUUCUUCUUACCCUCUGAAGAUUGCUCUUUACCAUUCACACUUCAUAUUGGUGGGCAAGCAUCUAUCUUCAGCUAAACACGGUCACCUCUACUUCAUUCCAUUUUCCUGAAAAGGACCUGUGGGGGAGGAAUUCUGAAAUGAUUCAUACAAUCCAUAGGACCACCCAC
Mus pahari (shrew mouse) is the source of this 3025-nucleotide RNA transcript. It is a transcript of the gene named nuclear assembly factor 1 ribonucleoprotein, with no coding region annotated. The record is from RefSeq and is a predicted model, not a curated record. Lineage: Eukaryota; Metazoa; Chordata; Mammalia; Rodentia; Muridae. The transcript has 10 exons.